AGCAGUCGCCGCGGUAAUACGAAGGGUGCAAGCGUUAAUCGGAAUUACUGGGCGUAAAGCGUGCGUAGGCGGUGAGUUAAGUCUGCUGUAAAAUCCCCGAGCUUAACUUGGGAACUGCAUUUGAAACUGGCAAGCUAGAGUCUUGUAGAGGGGGGUAGAAUUCCAGGUGUAGCGGUGAAAUGCGUGGAGAUCUGGAGGAAUACCGGUGGCGAAGGCGGCCCCCUGGACAAAGACUGACGCUCAGGUGCGAAAGCGUGGGGAGCAAACAGGAUUAGAUACCCGCGUAGUCCCUGUCUCUUAUAA
This 303-nucleotide ribosomal RNA is filed under the name uncultured bacterium. Its description in RNAcentral is "partial 16S ribosomal RNA". It matches the Rfam family "Bacterial small subunit ribosomal RNA", at positions 507 to 809 of the family's 1533-position model. The record is from RNAcentral.